GGAGUCUAGAUGUUGCGAGAUUUGAAAUGUCAUGAGUAGCAAUACGAUUGAUGUGGAUGGUGGAGCAUUUUCUAGAUUUAGCGGCGAACGAGUUAGUAACACCUUGGUACGUACCCCGAAGACAGGGAUAGCCAAUCGAAAGAUUGAUUAAUACCUGAUAUAUCGAAAGAUGAAAGUCGCAAGACGCUUUGGGAUCGGCCUAGGUCCGAUCAGCUUGUUGGUGAGGUAAUAGCUCACCAAGGCUACGACCGGUAGGGGGGGUGAGAGCCCGGUCCCCAACGAUGGAACUGAGACACGGUCCAUACUCCUACGGGAGGCAGCAGUCGAGAAUAUUCUACAAUGGGCGAAAGCCUGAUAGAGCGACGCCGCGUGCAGGAAGAAGCCCUUCGGGGUGUAAACUGCUUUUCUUCGGGAUGAAGUCUGCGCAAGCAGAUUGACAGUACCGAGGGAAUAAGGAGCGGCUAACUUCGUGCCAGCAGCAGCGGUAAUACGAAGGCUCCAAGCGUUAUCCGGAUUUAUUGGGCGUAAAGAGUGCGUAGGUGGUUUUGUGCGUCCUCUGUUAAAUCUAGCCGCCCAACGGCGAGACUGCAGUGGAUACGACAAGACUAGAGGGUGCUAGAGGUUUGCGGAACGCACGGUGUAGGGGUGACAUCCGUUGAUAUCGUGCGGAACACCAAAGGCGAAGGCAGCAAACUGGAGCAUUCCUGACACUGAGGCACGAAAGCGUGGGGAGCGAAAAGGAUUAGAUACCCUUGUAGUCCACGCCGUAAACUAUGUUCACUAGCUAUUUCGAGUAUCGACCCUCGGAGUGGCGCAGCUAACGCAUUAAGUGAACCGCCUGGGAAGUACGAGCGCAAGCUUAAAACUCAAAGGAAUAGACGGGGACUCGCACAAGCGGAGGAUUAUGAGGUUUAAUUUGAUAACAAACAAGGAACCUUACCAGGGCUUGACAUGCUAGUGGAAAGCCGCCAGAAACGGUGGCCCUCUCUCAAGGAUCACUAGCACAGGUGCUGCAUGGUUGUCGUCAGCUCGUGUCUUGAGACGUUCCCUUAAGUGGGUAAACGAGCGCAACCCUUGCUAUCUGUUACAAGUGUCAGAUAGGACUGCCGUGUUUCACACGGAGGAAGGAGAGGAUGACGUCAAAUCAGCAUGGCCCUUUGAUGCCCUGGGCUACACUCAUAAUACAAUGGUCAGUACAAAGAGUUGUGAAACCGUAAGGUGGAACUAAUCUUCAAAACUGGCCUCAGUUCAGAUUGAGGGCUGAAACCUGCCCUCAUGAAGUCGGAUUCGCUAGUAAUCGUGCAUCAGCUAUGGCACGGUGAAUACGUUCUCGAGUCCUGUACUCACCGCCCGUCACGUCAAGGAAGCCGGGAGGAGGCGAAGUCUCGCUUUAGCGGGACCAGUCUCAGUUCGGUGACACGGACGAAGUCGUAACAAGGCACGCGUAGCGGAAGCUGUGCGUG
Molecule: ribosomal RNA, 1463 nt
Filed under: groundwater metagenome
Description: bacterial SSU rRNA
Rfam family: Bacterial small subunit ribosomal RNA
Source: RNAcentral